GAUGAAGAACGUAGCGAAAUGCGAUACUUGGUGUGAAUUGCAGAAUCCCGUGAACCAUCGAGUCUUUGAACGCAAGUUGCGCCCGAAGCCACUAGGCCGAGGGCACGCCUGCCUGGGCGUCACACGCCGUUGCCCCCCCAUCUACUCCUUCGGGAUUGCGGGGGGGCGGAUGAUGGCCUCCCGUGCGCCUAGCCGCGCGGUUGGCAUAAAUACCAAGUCCUCGGCGACGCACGCCACGACAAUCGGUGGUUGCGAGACCUCGGUUGCCCGUCGUGUGCGUUCGUCGCGCAUCGAGGGCUCGAAAAAAUGCUCGGCUCCGGCUGGGCUUUCAACGCGACCCCAGGUCAGGCGGGGUUACCCGCUGAAUUUAAGCAUAUCAAUAAGCGGAGGA
This 391-nucleotide unclassified non-coding RNA is filed under the name soil metagenome. Its description in RNAcentral is "partial contains 5.8S ribosomal RNA, internal transcribed spacer 2, and large subunit ribosomal RNA". The stretch from base 1 to 122 matches the Rfam family "5.8S ribosomal RNA", at positions 35 to 154 of the family's 154-position model. The record is from RNAcentral.